GACGAACGCUGGCGGCGUGCUUAACACAUGCAAGUCGAACGGAAAGGCCCUGCUUUUGUGGGGUGCUCGAGUGGCGAACGGGUGAGUAACACGUGAGUAACCUGCCCUUGACUUUGGGAUAACUUCAGGAAACUGGGGCUAAUACCGGAUAGGAGCUCCUGCUGCAUGGUGGGGGUUGGAAAGUUUCGGCGGUUGGGGAUGGACUCGCGGCUUAUCAGCUUGUUGGUGGGGUAGUGGCUUACCAAGGCUUUGACGGGUAGCCGGCCUGAGAGGGUGACCGGCCACAUUGGGGCUGAGAUACGGCCCAGACUCCUACGGGAGGCAGCAGUGGGGAAUAUUGCACAAUGGGCGGAAGCCUGUUGCAGCAACGCCGCGUGCGGGAUGACGGCCUUCGGGUUGUAAACCGCUUUCGCCUGUGACGAAGCGUGAGUGACGGUAAUGGGUAAAGAAGCACCGGCUAACUACGUG
This 468-nucleotide ribosomal RNA is filed under the name uncultured bacterium. RNAcentral describes it as "partial 16S ribosomal RNA". It matches the Rfam family "Bacterial small subunit ribosomal RNA", at positions 28 to 507 of the family's 1533-position model. The record is from RNAcentral.